GGGGAGAUGGCGAUGGAUAUAAAGUUUAAGUUUCUCGCCCUACAAUCUCUACAAAAGGGAGCGGUCCCUGGUCACGGUGUGUAAGCUCAUAUGAGGAUAAAACCUCUUUAGUGAGAAACCUAAAGUGAUUAUUAACUGCGCCCCCCUGUCAAAUGACAGGCGUGGAACCAAAAAUAAUUGCCUCCACUGUCACCUCC
This 197-nucleotide non-coding RNA is filed under the name Bdellovibrionales bacterium. Its description in RNAcentral is "6S RNA". The stretch from base 16 to 182 matches the Rfam family "6S / SsrS RNA", at positions 18 to 170 of the family's 187-position model. Rfam says of the family: E. coli 6S RNA was the first non coding RNA to be sequenced, but its function was unknown until recently. It consists of 184 nucleotides that fold into an extended hairpin structure with a large single-stranded internal bulge. Lineage: Bacteria; Pseudomonadati; Bdellovibrionota; Bdellovibrionia; Bdellovibrionales. The record is from RNAcentral.